Molecule: long non-coding RNA, 877 nt
Filed under: Pongo abelii (Sumatran orangutan)
Lineage: Eukaryota; Metazoa; Chordata; Mammalia; Primates; Hominidae
Description: lincRNA
Source: RNAcentral
CACUGUCCUGUGGCCUUCAUUCCUUGGGGAAAACACCACAAUGGUCAUCACCUGAACAAAUGGACUGGGGAGAUGUGGAAGUGAAAGAAAGGGAACAUGUAUCAGAGACCCAGUAGCAAUGGAACAUCAAUUGGCACAGAGGAUUUGGGAAGAAGGAACCAGAUUUGAGUAUUUUCAGCUCUAGGUGCUGAAGAUGUUCAUGAUCAGAUAGACAUGGUAGUUGAGGGAAAGAGAGUUUUGGGGAGCCCUUCUCCUUGGAAUUCUAGGGAGAGGACAUCUUAUUCUUAUUGGAUCACGCACAGUGCCUGAAGCAUUCUGUUGCAUGUAGAAAUCAGUAAAUUGCAGAUGUAAGAUUCAAAACGAGACUUCACAUCUACCGACUUCAGUGAUCCUGAAAUUUGUCCACAGAGAGCAUUUAACAUAACUGUCUUCAUCAUCUCCUUCUCUAAUUAAAAACUAUGGAGGCCUUACAAACUGGUAGAAGAUGCAUAAUAGAAGAGCUUAUGAAGUUAAAGAUGACAGCAUAGCAACACUGUUCACAAAGACAUUAUUGGUGAUUCAAUCUUGAGUCAUGAAAAGCCAACCUUGAGCCACAAAAAGUCAACCUUGAGCCAAGCAGAGUGGAGAGUCAUACUGGCCAUUCCUGGGACCAUCAAAAAUGGCAGAGGUCACACAAAAGGCAAAACCUUUAAGAGGUGUUUUAAACAUCGUAUGGGCCAAAGAGAAUCUGGAUUUCCUAUUGCAGUCAGCUGUAACACACGUGUGACAAAUUGGGCUGUGAGGACAAGGCAGUGAGUAGAGACGACAGCAGUCCUUAUGAGAUCAAGCUCUAAGGUAUCCUAGAUACAUUUGGAGAAUUCACCUGAGCUACAGGAUG